This 830-nucleotide ribosomal RNA is filed under the name uncultured eukaryote. Its description in RNAcentral is "SSU rRNA". It matches the Rfam family "Eukaryotic small subunit ribosomal RNA", at positions 142 to 1043 of the family's 1831-position model. The record is from RNAcentral.
GAUAACCGUGGGAAACUGGGGCUAAUACAUGCAUAAAAGCCGAAAGGCCGUAUUUAUUAGUUUCAAAUCAAUAUAACUCAGUUAUUUUGUGAGGAAUCAUAAUAACUUGUCGAAGUGCCGCGAGGCACUACUUCAUUCAAGUUUCUGCCCUAUCAGCUUGAUGGUAGUGUAUUGGACUACCAUGGCUAUAACGGGUAACGGAGAAUUGGGGUUCGAUUCCGGAGAGGGAGCCUGAGAAACGGCUACCAUUUCUAAGGAAGGCAGCAGGCGCGUAAAUUACCCAAUCCUGACUCAGGGAGGUAGUUAAUAGAAAUAACACGUUCGGCUCUAUGAGCUCUGAACAUGUAAUGAAAUAAAUUUAAAACACUUUUCGAAUCCUAUUGGAGGGAAAGUCUGGUGCCAGCAGCCGCGGUAAUUCCAGCUCCAAUAGCGUAUAUUAAAGUUGUUGCAGUUAAAAAGCUCGUAGUUGAAAUUCCGGCGUCUUUAGACGUCUGCCUGGAAGAACUAGCGAUACCGUAAAAAGUUUUGCUUUUUUGAACAGGCUUUUACUGUGAACAAAUUAAAGUGCUCAAAGCAGGCUUUUGCUUGAAUAUUCUAGCAUGGAAUAAUAAAAUAUGACUUUAUUCAUUUUAUUGGUUAUUGAAUGAAGUAAUGAUUAAUAGGAACAGUUGGGGGCAUUCGUAUUUAAUAGUCAGAGGUGAAAUUCUUAGAUUUAUUAAAGACGAACUAAAGCGAAAGCAUUUGCCAAGGAUGUUUUCAUUAAUCAAGAACGAAAGUUAGGGGAUCAAAGACGAUUAGAUACCGUCGUAGUCCUAACUAUAAACUAUACC